This 314-nucleotide unclassified non-coding RNA is filed under the name plant metagenome. RNAcentral's name for it is "partial contains 5.8S ribosomal RNA, internal transcribed spacer 2, and large subunit ribosomal RNA". The stretch from base 1 to 105 matches the Rfam family "5.8S ribosomal RNA", at positions 50 to 154 of the family's 154-position model. The record is from RNAcentral.
GAAAUGCGAUAAUUAAUGUGAAUUGCAGAAUUCAGUGAAUCAUCGAGUCUUUGAACGCACAUUGCGCCCCCUGGUAUUCCGGGGGGCAUGCCUGUACGAGCGUCAUUGCUGCCCUCAAGCACGGCUUGUGUGUUGGGCUUCCGUCCCUGGCAACGGGGACGGGCCCAAAAGGCAGUGGCGGCACCAUGUCUGGUCCUCGAGCGUAUGGGGCUUUGUCACCCGCUCCCGUAGGUCCAGCUGGCAGCUAGCCUCGCAACCAAUCUUUUUAACCAGGUUGACCUCGGAUCAGGUAGGGAUGCCCGCUGAACUUAAGC